AGAUUAAGUUAUUAAGGGCGCACGGUGGAUGCCUUGGCACUAGAAGCCGAUGAAGGACGUUACUAACGACGAUAUGCUUUGGGGAGCUGUAAGUAAGCUUUGAUCCAGAGAUUUCCGAAUGGGGAAACCCAGCAUGAGUUAUGUCAU
This 147-nucleotide ribosomal RNA is filed under the name Xanthomonas citri pv. citri. RNAcentral's name for it is "partial 23S ribosomal RNA". It matches the Rfam family "Bacterial large subunit ribosomal RNA", at positions 1 to 146 of the family's 2925-position model. The record is from RNAcentral. Lineage: Bacteria; Pseudomonadati; Pseudomonadota; Gammaproteobacteria; Lysobacterales; Lysobacteraceae.